RNAcentral lists this transfer RNA (58 nucleotides) under Saccharothrix longispora. RNAcentral's name for it is "tRNA-Gly". It matches the Rfam family "tRNA", at positions 9 to 64 of the family's 71-position model. From Rfam's summary of the family: Transfer RNA (tRNA) molecules are approximately 80 nucleotides in length. Their secondary structure includes four short double-helical elements and three loops (D, anti-codon, and T loops). Lineage: Bacteria; Bacillati; Actinomycetota; Actinomycetes; Pseudonocardiales; Pseudonocardiaceae. The record is from RNAcentral.
AGCGCAGUUGGUAGCGCAUCACCUUGCCAAGGUGAGGGUCGCGAGUUCGAGUCUCGUC